CUCAGUUCAUGUAUCCAGCACUGUAUAAAUGUAAAAGGAGACCAAUGUGACAGUGGAAUCCACUCUUGAGGAAUUUAAAUGCUAACAGACACUUAACACCAGCUAUGUAACUGGCAUUGCUGUAAGCAGAUUACGGUGGAUGGGGGAGGGGCUAAUAUUACCAUCAUCCCUAUUUUACAGAUGGAGAAACUGACCAGGGAGUGGCAAAGCUUAGCUCUGAAUUCAGACGUGCUCAUUCUUAAGCUGUAGUCUUAACUACUCUGCUACUCUUCUCCAACCUUUUGGAAAUGCUAAGAUUGGAAACAUGAACAAUUCGAGACCUAAAGCUUCGAAACCCCUCCCAAUCAGCACCUUUUCCAUGAAGCCUCCCAUGGCCACCCCAGACAGGUCAGGUCCCCCAGACAUAUGUGGCCUUCCAGAUUCACCUCUCAUAGCUGGAGGAAUGAGUCUCUUGUUGCCUCCUUUCUUAGACCAUGAGCCUCUUGAAGGCGUGUGUCUCCAGCACCUAGAAGAUGUUGAACAAAUAUUUGAGGAGCCAAUGAAUCACUGAGCAAUACUUGUCGGAGUGUGGUCAAGGGCUCUCUUGAUUCUGUGGCAAACAAUUUAUCCGCCGUAGGUGUUAGAUGGCACUUGAGUGUGAAAGUAAGAUUUAGAAAAGUGGAGGGACAAGGAAAAGGACAUUUCAGGUGAGGGCAACAGCCUGGGCAAGAGAGCAGCGGUGGGAAUGGUCAUGGCAUGAACAGAGAGUGCGUUUCCUAUUGCUUCCGCAGUAAAUUACCGAACUUAGCGGUGUAGACACCACAAAUAUAUUCUCUUAUAGUUCUGGAGGUCAGAAGCCCAUAAAAUCAAGGUGUCAGCAGAGCUGUGUUCCUUUGGCAGCCUUCGGGGGAGGAUCUGUUUUCUUGCCUUUUCCAGCUUCUGAGGCCGCCUGAAUUUCUUGGCUCCUGGGCCCUUCCUCACAUCGCUCCUCCGUCUGGCUUCCUGUCACAUCUCCUGCUACUGUCUCUGACCCUGUGGCCUCCCUCUUAUGAAGAUCCUUAGCUAAAAACCUGGAAUAAUCUGAAAUUGGAAAAUAUUCAGAAGACCACGAAAAUCGAUGACUAUUUGGACAAAAGAUUCUACCAUAAGCCAGAAAACUUCUACCCAGAAAUAACACACAC
This 1160-nucleotide long non-coding RNA is filed under the name Equus caballus (horse). RNAcentral describes it as "lncRNA (ENSECAG00000054786.1)". Lineage: Eukaryota; Metazoa; Chordata; Mammalia; Perissodactyla; Equidae. The record is from RNAcentral.